Small nuclear RNA from Protopterus annectens (West African lungfish), 160 nucleotides. RefSeq annotates it as U1 spliceosomal RNA. Lineage: Eukaryota; Metazoa; Chordata; Ceratodontiformes; Protopteridae. The transcript has a single exon. The record is from RefSeq and is a predicted model, not a curated record.
GUCUUUACCUGGGGAGACGGAUACCACAAUCAGGAAGGUGGUUGUUCCCAGUGUUAGGUUCUUCAUUGCACACUUUGAUGGGGUUGAUCCUUGUGAUUUCCCUAUAUGUGUGAAACUCAACUGCAUAAUUUAUGGUAGUGGAGGACUGCAUAAACUUAUA